CGGAGGGGGCUAGCGUUGUUCGGAAUUACUGGGCGUAAAGCGCACGUAGGCGGCUUUGUAAGUUAGAGGUGAAAGCCCAGGGCUUAACCCUGGAAUUGCCUUUAAGACUGCAUCGCUAGAAUCGUGGAGAGGUGAGUGGAAUUCCGAGUGUAGAGGUGAAAUUCGUAGAUAUUCGGAAGAACACCAGUGGCGAAGGCGACUCACUGGACACGUAUUGACGCUGAGGUGCGAAAGCGUGGGGAGCAACAGG
RNAcentral lists this ribosomal RNA (250 nucleotides) under uncultured bacterium. RNAcentral's name for it is "partial 16S ribosomal RNA". It matches the Rfam family "Bacterial small subunit ribosomal RNA", at positions 526 to 775 of the family's 1533-position model. The record is from RNAcentral.